CCAAGCGUACACGGUGGAUGCCCUGGCAGUCAGAGGCGAUGAAGGACGUGCUAAUCUGCGAUAAGCGCCGGUAAGGUGAUAUGAACCGUUAUAACCGGCGAUGUCCGAAUGGGGAAACCCAGUGUGACUCGUCACACUAUCAUUAACUGAAUCCAUAGGUUAAUGAGGCGAACCGGGGGAACUGAAACAUCUAAGUACCCCGAGGAAAAGAAAUCAACCGAGAUUCCCCCAGUAGCGGCGAGCGAACGGGGAGGAGCCCAGAGCCUGAAUCAGCAUGUGUGUUAGUGGAAGCGUCUGGAAAGGCGCGCGAUACAGGGUGAGAGCCCCGUACACAAAAGCGCAUAUGCUGUGAGCUCGAUGAGUAGGGCGGGACACGUGGUAUCCUGUCUGAAUAUGGGGGGACCAUCCUCCAAGGCUAAAUACUCCUGACUGACCGAUAGUGAACCAGUACCGUGAGGGAAAGGCGAAAAGAACCCCGGCGAGGGGAGUGAAACAGAACCUGAAACCGUGUACGUACAAGCAGUGGGAGCCUCUCUUUAUGGGGGGUGACUGCGUACCUUUUGUAUAAUGGGUCAGCGACUUAUAUUCUGUAGCAAGGUUAACCGCAUAGGGGAGCCGAAGGGAAACCGAGUCUUAAUUGGGCGUUAAGUUGCAGGGUAUAGACCCGAAACCCGGUGAUCUAGCCAUGGGCAGGUUGAAGGUUGGGUAACACUAACUGGAGGACCGAACCGACUAAUGUUGAAAAAUUAGCGGAUGACCUGUGGCUGGGGGUGAAAGGCCAAUCAAACCGGGAGAUAGCUGGUUCUCCCCGAAAGCUAUUUAGGUAGCGCCUCGUGAACUCAUCUCCGGGGGUAGAGCACUGUUUCGGCUAGGGGGCCAUCCCGGCUUACCAACCCGAUGCAAACUGCGAAUACCGGAGAAUGUUAUCACGGGAGACACACGGCGGGUGCUAACGUCCGUCGUGAAGAGGGAAACAACCCAGACCGCCAGCUAAGGUCCCAAAGUCAUGGUUAAGUGGGAAACGAUGUGGGAAGGCCCAGACAGCCAGGAUGUUGGCUUAGAAGCAGCCAUCAUUUAAAGAAAGCGUAAUAGCUCACUGGUCGAGUCGGCCUGCGCGGAAGAUGUAACGGGGCUAAACCAUGCACCGAAGCUGCGGCAGCGACACUUUAGUGUUGUUGGGUAGGGGAGCGUUCUGUAAGCCGUUGAAGGUGUCCUGUGAGGGGUGCUGGAGGUAUCAGAAGUGCGAAUGCUGACAUAAGUAACGAUAAAGCGGGUGAAAAGCCCGCUCGCCGGAAGACCAAGGGUUCCUGUCCAACGUUAAUCGGGGCAGGGUGAGUCGACCCCUAAGGCGAGGCCGAAAGGCGUAGUCGAUGGGAAACGGGUUAAUAUUCCCGUACUUGGUGUUACUGCGAAGGGGGGACGGAGAAGGCUAUGUUGGCCGGGCGACGGUAGUCCCGGUUUAAGCGUGUAGGUGUGUGUUCCAGGCAAAUCCGGUUCACUUUAACACUGAGGCGUGAUGACGAGGCACCACGGUGCUGAAGCAACAAAUGCCCUGCUUCCAGGAAAAGCCUCUAAGCAUCAGGUAACAUCAAAUCGUACCCCAAACCGACACAGGUGGUCAGGUAGAGAAUACCAAGGCGCUUGAGAGAACUCGGGUGAAGGAACUAGGCAAAAUGGUGCCGUAACUUCGGGAGAAGGCACGCUGACACGUAGGUGAAGUGAUUUACUCAUGGAGCUGAAGUCAGUCGAAGAUACCAGCUGGCUGCAACUGUUUAUUAAAAACACAGCACUGUGCAAACACGAAAGUGGACGUAUACGGUGUGACGCCUGCCCGGUGCCGGAAGGUUAAUUGAUGGGGUCAGCGCAAGCGAAGCUCCUGAUCGAAGCCCCGGUAAACGGCGGCCGUAACUAUAACGGUCCUAAGGUAGCGAAAUUCCUUGUCGGGUAAGUUCCGACCUGCACGAAUGGCGUAAUGAUGGCCAGGCUGUCUCCACCCGAGACUCAGUGAAAUUGAACUCGCUGUGAAGAUGCAGUGUACCCGCGGCAAGACGGAAAGACCCCGUGAACCUUUACUAUAGCUUGACACUGAACAUUGAGCCUUGAUGUGUAGGAUAGGUGGGAGGCUUUGAAGCGUGGACGCCAGUCUGCGUGGAGCCGACCUUGAAAUACCACCCUUUAAUGUUUGAUGUUCUAACGUGGACCCGUAAUCCGGGUUGCGGACAGUGUCUGGUGGGUAGUUUGACUGGGGCGGUCUCCUCCUAAAGAGUAACGGAGGAGCACGAAGGUUGGCUAAUCCUGGUCGGACAUCAGGAGGUUAGUGCAAUGGCAUAAGCCAGCUUGACUGCGAGCGUGACGGCGCGAGCAGGUGCGAAAGCAGGUCAUAGUGAUCCGGUGGUUCUGAAUGGAAGGGCCAUCGCUCAACGGAUAAAAGGUACUCCGGGGAUAACAGGCUGAUACCGCCCAAGAGUUCAUAUCGACGGCGGUGUUUGGCACCUCGAUGUCGGCUCAUCACAUCCUGGGGCUGAAGUAGGUCCCAAGGGUAUGGCUGUUCGCCAUUUAAAGUGGUACGCGAGCUGGGUUUAGAACGUCGUGAGACAGUUCGGUCCCUAUCUGCCGUGGGCGCUGGAAGACUGAGGGGGGCUGCUCCUAGUACGAGAGGACCGGAGUGGACGCAUCACUGGUGUUCGGGUUGUCAUGCCAAUGGCACUGCCCGGUAGCUAAAUGCGGAAAAGAUAAGUGCUGAAAGCAUCUAAGCACGAAACUUGCCCCGAGAUGAGUCUUCCCUGAGACUUUGAGUCUCCUGAAGGAACGUUAAAGACGAUGACGUUGAUAGGCCGGGUGUGUAAGCGCAGCGAUGCGUUGAGCUAACCGGUACUAAUGAACCGUGAGGCUUAACC
Molecule: ribosomal RNA, 2897 nt
Filed under: Salmonella enterica subsp. diarizonae serovar 60:r:e,n,x,z15
Lineage: Bacteria; Pseudomonadati; Pseudomonadota; Gammaproteobacteria; Enterobacterales; Enterobacteriaceae
Description: bacterial LSU rRNA
Rfam family: Bacterial large subunit ribosomal RNA
Source: RNAcentral